UCAAGUGACUAAGUGCAUGUGGCGGAUGCCUUGGCGAUCACAGGCGAAGAAAGACGCGGCAGCCUGCGAAAAGCUGCGGGGAGCUGGCAAACGAGCUUUGAUCCGCAGAUAUCUGAAUGGGGGAACCCACACCGCAAGGUGUAUCCGUGACUGAAUACAUAGGUUACGGAGGCGAACGAGGAGAACUGAAACAUCUAAGUAUCCUCAGGAAAAGAAAUCAACCGAGAUUCCGGCAGUAGCGGCGAGCGAACCCGGAGGAGCCUAGCUUUUGAUAGUACGAACUUUAGCCGAAAGGUCCUGGAAAGGCCUGCUAUAGUGGGUGAUAGCCCCGUAGGCGAAAGAGUUCGUAUGGUACUAAGGAAGCGAGAAGUAGAGCGGGACACGUGGAAUCCUGUUCGAAGAUGGGGGGACCAUCCUCCAAGGCUAAAUACUCGUGAUCGACCGAUAGUGAACCAGUACCGUGAGGGAAAGGCGAAAAGAACCCCGGGAGGGGAGUGAAAUAGAACCUGAAACCGCAUGCAUACAAACAGUAGGAGCCUCAACAGAGGUGACUGCGUACCUUUUGCAUAAUGGGUCAGCGACUUACAUUCUGUGGCGAGCUUAACCGAAUAGGGGAGGCGCAGCGAAAGCGAGUUCGAAAUGAGCGUCCAGUCGCAGGGUGUAGACCCGAAACCAGAUGAGCUAUCCAUGGCCAGGUUGAAGGUGUGGUAACACACACUGGAGGACCGAACCGACUAGUGUUGCAAAAUUAGCGGAUGAGCUGUGGAUAGGGGUGAAAGGCCAAACAAAUCUGGAGAUAGCUGGUUCUCCCCGAAAACUAUUGAGGUAGUGCCUCGUGUGUCGCUCCAGGGGGUAGAGCACUGUUUUGGCUAGGGGGACAUGGAGUCUUACCAAACCAAGGCAAACUCCGAAUACCUGGAAGCGUAAGCACGGGAGACAGAGCACCGGGUGCUAACGUCCGGACUCAAAAGGGAAACAACCCAGACCGCCGGCUAAGGUCCCCAAUAACAGCUAAGUGGAAAACGAAGUGGAAAGGCCGUGACAACCAGGAAGUUGGCUUAGAAGCAGCCAUCCUUCAAAGAAAGCGUAAUAGCUCACUGGUCGAGUCCUUCUGCGCGGAAGAUGUAACGGGGCUAAGCUGUUAACCGAAGCCGCGGAUGCACUGAUUAUUCAGUGCGUGGUAGGGGAGCGUUCUGUAAGUCUGCGAAGGCGGUUCGAGAGGACUGCUGGAGAUAUCAGAAGUGCGAAUGCUGACAUGAGUAACGUUAAAGCAGGUGAAAAGCCUGCUCGCCGUAAGCCCAAGGAUUCCUGCUCUACGUUCAUCGGAGCAGGGUGAGUCGGCUCCUAAGGUCAGGCCGAAAGGCGUAGCCGAUGGGAAUCAGGUUAAUAUUCCUGAACCUGCGUCAGAUGCGAUGGGGGGACGGAGCAUGAAAGAUCAUCCGGGUGUUGGAUGUCCCGGUUGACGAGCGUAGGAGGUCUGCAGGCAAAUCCGCAGACGCAUCUCCAAGGCGAAGUCACGUGCCGCCACGGCGGCGAAGUGAUCGGAAGUGCUUCCAAGAAAAGCCUCUAAGCACCAGUCUGACGCGGACCGUACCGCAAACCGACACUGGUGGGCGAGCUGAAUAUGCUCAGGCGCUUGAGAGAACUCGGGAGAAGGAACUCGGCAAAUUGACACCGUAACUUCGGAAGAAGGUGUGCCGUAGUAGCGUGAGAGGAGAGACACCUUGAGCGUGAAUCGGUCUCAGAGAAUAGGUGGCUGCGACUGUUUAUUAAAAACACAGCACUCUGCAAAGUCGAAAGACGACGUAUAGGGUGUGAUGCCUGCCCGGUGCUGGAAGAUUAAUUGAUGGGGUGAGAGCCCUUGAUCGAAGUCCCAGUAAACGGCGGCCGUAACUAUAACGGUCCUAAGGUAGCGAAAUUCCUUGUCGGGUAAGUUCCGACCUGCACGA
This 1949-nucleotide ribosomal RNA is filed under the name human gut metagenome. Its description in RNAcentral is "bacterial LSU rRNA". It matches the Rfam family "Bacterial large subunit ribosomal RNA", at positions 3 to 1995 of the family's 2925-position model. The record is from RNAcentral.